RNAcentral lists this long non-coding RNA (687 nucleotides) under Rattus norvegicus (Norway rat). Its description in RNAcentral is "long non-coding RNA NONRATT027166". Lineage: Eukaryota; Metazoa; Chordata; Mammalia; Rodentia; Muridae. The record is from RNAcentral.
GAGGAGAAACAAGAGCGACAGCUGUACACUGGAAGCCACAGCUAGAAGGGCAAGCAAGGGAAAAUAUGACAGAGUGGUUAUAACAGCCACGACCCACAAAGACAUGUGACACCGUGUAUACAUCUGUCGCUUGUCACAUAUCCCUGUCAUGGCAUUAAUGAGAGCUGAGAAACUUCUAGGUCUGGGUUUACAAGAAAGGAUCCAGUGUGUAAGGUAGAAGCUGUGCCUGUGAACAUGGUGACUACAGUCUAGGAAGUCACACCCUGUCCAUGUCCAAAUCAUGUGCCUCCUGCCAGGGGACGACCCUCAUCAUCAACCUGUCCUCAGUGCUGAAGGAUGAGACUGUCUGGGAGAAGCCCCUCCGCUUCCACCCUGAACACUUCCUGGAUGCCCAGGGCAACUUUGUGAAGCAUGAGGCCUUCAUGCCAUUCUCAGCAGGCCGCAGAGCAUGCCUGGGGGAGCCCCUGGCCCGCAUGGAGCUCUUCCUCUUCUUCACCUGCCUCCUGCAGCGCUUCAGCUUCUCCGUGCCCGCUGGGCAGCCCCGGCCCAGCAACUAUGGCGUCUUUGGUGCUCUGACCACCCCGCGCCCCUACCAGCUCUGUGCUUCACCCCGCUAAGGGGAGGCACAGCAUCUCACUCACUGUGCUUGCUGGGGUCCUAGUGUGCAAUAAAUGGUUUUACUCUGAA